UCGUUCGGGUUUCGUUCCCCUCUGGAACCCUAACCCUAGGAGAGGGGAGGUCAGAAGAUGACGACGCGCUUCAAGAAGAACCGGAAGAAGCGUGGGCACGUGAGCGCCGGCCAUGGCCGGAUAGGAAAGCACCGGAAGCACCCCGGUGGCCGUGGUAACGCCGGAGGGAUGCACCACCACCGGAUCCUCUUCGACAAGUACCAUCCAGGGUACUUCGGUAAGGUCGGCAUGCGCUAUUUCCACCGCCUCCGUAACAAGUUCUACUGCCCCACCGUUAACGUCGAACGCCUCUGGUCUCUCGUGCCCGACGACGUCAAGGAUGCCGCCGCCGCCGCCGCCGGAAGCUCCGCCCCGAUGAUCGACGUCACUCAGUUCGGGUACUUCAAGGUGCUCGGCAAGGGGAUGAUGCCCCCCUCCUUCCCCGUUGUCGUGAAGGCCAAGCUCGUGUCCAAGAUCGCCGAGAAGAAGAUCAAGGCUGCCGGCGGCGCCGUCGUGCUCACCGCCUGAUGGUGACGUAUCACUGCUUUCAUUGGAGGAAGGGAACUCCAUUUGCUGAAGACCAGGGUAUCUAUAAUGGUUUAACUUGGUGGGAGCAGGUGGACAAUGGCAAGCAGCUCACCAACAAUAGAAAGUUUUUGUCUACUGUACCAGUGAUCCUGUACCUGAUUGCCUUACAUACGACGGACUACCAGUAUCCGAUGCUCUUUCUCAAUACACUUGCUGUGUUUGUGCUGGUGGUUGCCAAGUUCCCUAACAUGCACAAAGUCCGUAUCUUUGGAAUUAAUGGAGAUCACUGAUCUAUGCCCUAAGAAUAGGGUGUGCGAUUAUUUUCUUCAUGUACCUUCAUGGCUGAAAGAAAAUGGAAGUUUUGGGUUUUGAUAAGGGAUGCUUUGCUCUCAGUGCUGCAAUUCUUCUUGCAUUAUUGUAUAUUAGGUUAAAAUAAAUAACAAAAACAUAUACACGAAAUCGAUUGAGCAUUGGCACAAAGUUUUGGCUUUUGCAGGAUGGAUAUUAUGCAGUUAAUGUUGCAAAACUCUCUCCUUCAGCAUUUGUUCAAGAGAUAUUUGUUGUU
Molecule: RNA transcript, 1072 nt
Organism: Phoenix dactylifera (date palm)
Lineage: Eukaryota; Viridiplantae; Streptophyta; Magnoliopsida; Arecales; Arecaceae
Gene name: large ribosomal subunit protein uL15x pseudogene
Source: RefSeq, a predicted model, not a curated record